Molecule: ribosomal RNA, 560 nt
Filed under: uncultured bacterium
Lineage: Bacteria
Description: partial 16S ribosomal RNA
Rfam family: Bacterial small subunit ribosomal RNA
Source: RNAcentral
UGAGGAAUAUUGGUCAAUGGGCGAGAGCCUGAACCAGCCAAGUCGCGUGAAGGAAGACUGCCUUAUGGGUUGUAAACUUCUUUUAUACAGGAAUAAAAAGGCUUACGUGUAGGCCAUUGCAAGUACUGUAUGAAUAAGCAUCGGCUAACUCCGUGCCAGCAGCCGCGGUAAUACGGAGGAUGCGAGCGUUAUCCGGAUUUAUUGGGUUUAAAGGGUGCGCAGGCGGGCUUUUAAGUCAGCGGUGAAAUCUGGACGCUUAACGUCCAAACUGCCGUUGAAACUGGGAGUCUUGAGUAUGGAUGAAGUAGGCGGAAUUCGUUGUGUAGCGGUGACAUACAUAGAUAUAACGAGGAACUCCGAUUGCGUAGGCAGCUUACUAAGCCAUAACUGACGCUCAUGCACGAAAGCGUGGGGAUCAAACAGGAUUAGAUACCCUGGUAGUCCACGCCGUAAACGAUGAUUACUAGUUGUAUGCGAUAUGAUAGUAUGUGACUAAGCGAAAGCGAUAAGUAAUCCACCUGGGGAGUACGCCGGCAACGGUGAAACUUAAAUGAAUUGAC